RNAcentral lists this ribosomal RNA (252 nucleotides) under uncultured bacterium. RNAcentral describes it as "partial 16S ribosomal RNA". It matches the Rfam family "Bacterial small subunit ribosomal RNA", at positions 524 to 776 of the family's 1533-position model. The record is from RNAcentral.
UACGUAGGGGACAAGCGUUGUCCGGAUUUAUUGGGCGUAAAGCGCGCGCAGGCGGUCAUUUAAGUCUGGUGUUUAAUCCCGGGGCUCAACCCCGGAUCGCACUGGAAACUGGGUGACUUGAGUGCAGAAGAGGAGAGUGGAAUUCCACGUGUAGCGGUGAAAUGCGUAGAUAUGUGGAGGAACACCAGUGGCGAAGGCGACUCUCUGGGCUGUAACUGACGCUGAGGCGCGAAAGCGUGGGGAGCAAACAGG